This 170-nucleotide ribosomal RNA is filed under the name uncultured Ruminococcus sp. RNAcentral's name for it is "partial 16S ribosomal RNA". It matches the Rfam family "Bacterial small subunit ribosomal RNA", at positions 338 to 525 of the family's 1533-position model. Lineage: Bacteria; Bacillati; Bacillota; Clostridia; Eubacteriales; Oscillospiraceae. The record is from RNAcentral.
CCUACGGGAGGCAGCAGUGGGGGAUAUUGCACAAUGGAGGAAACUCUGAUGCAGCAACGCCGCGUGAAGGAAGACGGUCUUCGGAUUGUAAACUUUUGUACCUAGGGACGAUAAUGACGGUACCUAGGUAGCAAGCUCCGGCUAACUACGUGCCAGCAGCCGCGGUAAUA